Molecule: ribosomal RNA, 494 nt
Filed under: uncultured bacterium
Lineage: Bacteria
Description: bacterial SSU rRNA
Rfam family: Bacterial small subunit ribosomal RNA
Source: RNAcentral
AUUGAACGCUGGCGGCAGGCCUAACACAUGCAAGUCGAGCGAGAAAGGUCUUCGGACUGAGUACAGCGGCGGACGGGUGAGUAAAGCGUAGGAAUCUACCUGGUAGUGGGGGAUAACUUGGGGAAACUCAAACUAAUACCGCAUACGCCCUACGGGGAAAGCGGGGACCUUCGGGCCUCGCGCUAUCAGAUGAGCCUGCGUAGGAUUAGCUAGUUGGUGAGGUAAAGGCUCACCAAGGCGACGAUCCUUAGCUGGUCUGAGAGGAUGAUCAGCCACACUGGGACUGAGACACGGACCAGACUCCUACGGGAGGCAGCAGUAAGGAAUAUUGGUCAAUGGAGGCAACUUCUGAACCAGCCAUGCCGCGUGCAGGAUGACGGCCCUAUGGGUUGUAAACUGCUUUUAUACAAGAGAAAACCCGAGUACGUGUACUCGGUUGAUAGUAUUGUAAGAAUAAGCAUCGGCUAACUUCGUGCCAGCAGCCGCGGUAAAGU